Passer domesticus (house sparrow) is the source of this 5017-nucleotide long non-coding RNA. RefSeq lists it as uncharacterized. NCBI's taxonomy places the organism in Eukaryota, Metazoa, Chordata, Aves, Passeriformes, Passeridae. The transcript has 2 exons. The record is from RefSeq and is a predicted model, not a curated record.
CUAGUACUCAUCAGGAGGCAGAGUCAAGGUAUUUGUAAAGCCAAAGCCAAAUGAAUCUCUUGGCUCUGCUUAAUUCCUUUCUAGGACUUAUUUUGGGAAAUACAAGGCCUGAUAACAUUGGAUUAAGGAUGUGGACAGUGGGAGGUGGUGGCACAGCCAGCUUUUGCCACUGGAUGUAUUCUGAGGUCUGAUGGCUGCUGCAGAAAACUCUGGCUCUGCCAAUUGCCCCAAAGCUCUGCUGAUUCAUAGGAAUUGCUUCCUUUAGACCUUCAGGGGAGAAAUUCACGAAGAGAGAGAGAGGGGAAAAAACCAAACCACCCCAGGUCCUUCCUAACUAUGAAAUCUGGCAAGCCUACCAUGUUUUUCUAUGUGCUAGACUAUCUCACAGCACCACUUUAAAGGAGCACUUCACUAAUUAGGAGGAAGAUUGUGAAAUUUUGCUACAGAAGGUUAUCUUGAAGUGAGAUUUUUUUUACAUGGGCGAGGUUAUCUUCACAUGAGCUAUUUUUCCCAUUAAAAUGUGCUCAGUUCUGUCUGAAUGGCAAGCAUCCAUGUACCUCAGUUUGCCAAAGUUUGAGUUGGUAUUUGUGGACAUGUCUCACAUGAUGUCACUGUAAUCAGGAUUGCUGCUCUGACCCUCACUUGCAAAGAUGAAUUGUCCUGAAGCUUUUGUUUAGCAUCAAUGAUGGCAGCCCUCAAAAAAACACAUGAGGAAAUUAGUGAUAAUUUUUCAAACUAGGGUUUGAAUCAUUUUUAGUAAAUAAGACAUUGGGUUAAACAUCCAACAUUAAUUAAAUGUAGCAUAAAUGUUAAUCAAAUGUGCACCAUGAAGCUGAUGUAUUUACAAAGGAAUUGUGGAAAAAAUUUUUGAAGGAAUGGGCUCUUCUAACUCUUGCAUAUCCUAAAGAAUGAGCCCUCCUAAUUCUUCAGCAUUUCCUAAAGGCUGAAUGAGUAAGUGACUUUGCAACCAUAAUAAUAUUCUUUGAUGAAACAGCUCCCUGGACGGAUGAGAGGUAGCAGUGGAUAUUGUCUACCUUGAGUUCAGCAAGGAUUUCAUCACUGUCUCUCACAAGAUCCUCAUAGGCAAACUCAGGAAGUGUGGACUGGAUGAGUGGGCAGUGAGGUGGGUUAAAAACUGGCUGAACAGCAGAUCCCAGCGGGUUAUAGUCAGAGACACAGGGUCUUGUUGGAGGCCUGCCACUAUCAGUUCCCCUCCAAGGUUCACCACUGGGACCAGGUUUGUUUAACUUGCUCAUCAAUGACUUGUAUGAAGGGACGGAUGUCUUCUCAGCAAGCCUACUGACAAUACAGAGCUGGGAGGUGUGGCCAAUACUCCAGAGGGCUGUGCAGCCCUUCAGAAGGGCCUUGACAGGUUGGAGACAUGCACAAAGAAGAACAAUAUGAAGUUCAGUAAAGGCAAAUGCAGGGUCCUGAACCUGGUGAAGAAUAACCCCAGGCACCACGACAGGCUGGGGCCAGCUUGCUGGAAAGCAGCUCUGCAGACAAUAACCUGGGGGUUGUGGUGGGCAACAAGGUGUCUAUGAGCCAGCAGGGUUCUUCAAGAAGAGCAUUGCCAUGAGGUUGAGGGAGCUGAUCCUGCCCCUCUACUCAACCCUGGUGAGGCCACAUCUGGAAUUCUGUGUCCAGUUCUGGGCUCCUCAGUACAGGAGCUCCUGGAAUAGGUCCAGUGGAGGGUGACAAAGAUGAUGAAGGGACAGGAGGAUAUCUCUUAUGGGUAAAGGCUGAGGAAGAUGUACUUGUUCAGCUUUGAGAAAAGAUGACUGAGAGGGGGAUCUCGUCAAUGUUUCUAAGUAUUGAAGGGUGGAGCCAGGCUCUGCUUGGUGCUGCCAAGCAAUAGGACCGAAGAGAAUGGGCAGAGACUGAUGCACAGGAAGUUCCAUCUGAAUGUGAGGAUGAACUUCUCUACUUUGUGGAUGACCGUGCAAUGGAAGAGAUUGCCCAAAGAGGUUGUGAAGCUUCCCUCAGUGGGGAUUCAAGAAACUCCUGGACACAAUCCUGUGCCAUGUGCUCUAGGAUGACCCUGCUUAAGCAGCAAGGUUGGACCAGAUGACUCACUGUGGUCCCUUCCAACCCUACCCGUUGGGUGAUUCUGUGAUUCUUUAAAUUAAAAAUGUAUGUGCAAUAUUAAAAUAUCUUAAAAACAAGGUUUUUAAAGUUCAUUGUAAUUAUAGUGUGUGUAUAUAAUCUUUAGAAACAGAAGUUUGAGACUGUGAUUCUGUGAUAUUUGUGCUAAGUGAAAUAUCCUCUGUUAUUAUCAAGCAUAAGCUUAAAAUCAUUGUAAUUUAUCUAUAAGCCCAUGACACACCAAGUUUGGCAUAUCUCCUUUUUCUUCAGUAUAAGCUUGGAUAUUUAUCAACACAACAGACUUGGCUAGAGGAAGUAAAUUUAGGUUAAAAUACAGAUCUCUAAUCUAUGUUUAGUCUUUACAUUUGCAGUGAGAUGAUAUAAUCACUGACUUUAAAAAUGGCAAUAUUUGAAUUAAAAAUUAAUGGAAUUAAUUCUUAAUUAUUUUAUCAUGUAGGAAAAAGUUCUGCCUACUUUUCAUGUUAAUUAUCCAAUUAUUUCAUACUCAAAGUACAGAAAAGAUAACUUUUCAGUAUCACCAUUUUUCAUUAAACCUCACCUUUAACCAACUUAAGCACAAAGAAGCAAGUUCUUUGUCUUUACUAUAUUUUUUGGUUUUCAGUCUGUGUUUUGCACGUUUUCAGAUGCUGUGCUUUUCUUUCACAGGCAAUUCAAAUGACUCAAGGAGAAUUAAGUCUUUGCUUAAUGAGUAGUACAUAAGCAUGUUUUCAGAAUUGGCCCUAAGAAGUGAAUUCAAAUCAGGAAAGAUUUUUGUCAACACACUAUACAUUCUCCUGAAAUUUAAAAUAAAAUUGUCCUUAAUGGCAGAUAUACACAAAAAGAUGAAGGUAAGAUGAUAAUAUAUAAUUUAUGCUGUCUCAGUGCUUCAAGUUUGACUAAAUGAUCUUUAAUGAACCUUCCAGUCCUGUGUUUGAUGAUACUCCCACAUAAGGGGAGAAGAGAACUGAAGUGGCACAGAUGAGGUCUGCUCUCUUACUAUAAUUCUAUGGAUGCUGAAGCUUUUUUUAUAGCUAAAAGGGAACACAUCCAACCUCCUAUUCUAGUAACAGGAGUGGAGGAAAACCUGAUUAGGAGAAAAUUUUAGGAUGAUCCAAAAGUGUAUGCAUUGCUUAUUGUAUUUGCCAUAUGUAUCGAGUUCUAUUUACAUUCCAAUGUUGAAUGAAAGGACAUGAGGCUUAGAUUUACAAAGAAAGGAAUAUUUAACUGAUCGUAUGUAAUUAUUAGAAAUAAAAUAUGAAAAAUCCCAAAUUACAAGGCAUGUGUCUCUAUAGAAGCCAAGUAAAACAGAUGAAGUUAUCUGAUAAAAAGGUUGGUAGAAAGAACUCUCUCAUCCAGAUAACCAAGUAGUUUAGCCAGGAUGCCUAAAGCUCCAGGUAAAACUCUCAAAUAAUUUAAUUUAUUUCUCUUUUGCAUGAAUAAAAGGCAAAGCCAGGAGUGAUACUAAGAAAGAUAACACUGCCUUUUUAAGGCAUAUGCGUUUAUCUAUGCACUCUGCGUUGUUAACCACAUUUGAUACAUUGGCUUAAAAUCUAUUAUUUGAAGGGUUGGUUUCAAAGAAGAUUAUAAAAGAGAUGUGGAUGAGCCUUUUUGAAGGAAAAAUAUCAGCUUGUUCUUUGUUGAUAGAGGUUUCUGACUCUCUAGCUGCACACGUUGUAUAUUUUUACUGUUACUGAAUACUACUCAUCAAUAAUACUGUUUCUGACUAAAUUAAGGAAAUAUCUGAGGCAGACUAAUUUUUUGCUUUUAUCACCUUAAGAUAUGAUUAGAAUAUGUAAAAUAGAUAGGGGAAAUAAUUUCUCAUUAAUUUGUUAAAAAUAGUUGUAAUUCAAUCCUAGUGAACUCUCUCUGCAUUAAGAAACAUGUGGAUGUAAAUAAACCUCAUAUCUGGGACCUUCAAUGUUUGUUCAUAUUUAUAUACAUACAUAGUAUUUUUUUAUGUGAAACUUUUGGUCACUGUUAAUACUUCUUUCAUUUUCAAUAUCAAAUUUAUAUUUCCCCUUGCUGGGAUUUUGCAAAGCUGUAUCAGAAAAAGGGUCUAAAUCUUUGGUAUCUAGUGGAAUUAGUCCACACGGAUGACUUCUUGCAAUUGCCAAUUAACUUUUUCCCAGAGGGAAGCAGUAGCAUAAGUGUGCCCUGUCUUUGAUAAACAGGUCUGACAUACACUCUAAACACUAACUUGAGAAAUAUAUUCUGAGUGUUUCAUGAUAACAACAGAAGCUGCAUAAGACUUAGUAAGCUGAGGGAGUAGAAAAACUUCAAGGAGAGAGGAAAAAAUGAAAUAAUACCUAAAAUGCUUGAAGAUUUAGCAAUAAGUCAUAAUAAUUUGGAUUCUGGUCUGACAAAGCCUUUAUAAACUCUCCUGUGACUUUUUUAGUGUGGCGAUUUUUAUAUCACUAAGGACAGGCAAAAUGGGUUAAGUCAGUCACUGUCCACCUUGGUGUUCACCUGAAGUCCAAUCACAACUGAUUUUUUUUGUGAUUUCAUUGCAAGUUAAAUAUAGAAUAUGAGGGCAUUUUAGUAUGGUAAACAUCCACUCCCCCUUCUGCAAUUCCAGCCAGAUAAAUGCAUUAUUUUUUAUUCUUAGAAAGUACUUGAGGUGCUUGUGGUGGUCAAGAACAACCUGCUUACAUAUUCAGUAUGGUGAGUUUAGUGAGUAGGAAGGCAGUUCAAGGUAUAACUCUCUCUGGAAGCCAGGAGCUCUGGUCAUCACUUGUCCUUGUGACCCGGGAGCACAGGAGGAGUAAUUGUGAUAAUAAGUACUGGUGAUCAUGCAGAUUUCACUUAGCUGUCUGACUUGGCACUGACAUGUAGCCAGGCCUCUUUUUUUCCAUUGUGGUGUAAAUGGACAAACUGAGAGCUGGUUUAAUGAAAUAUCUAUAAUUUCAGAAAAAAACCCAAAAAAAAAACAAAA